AUACGUAGGGGGCGAGCGUUGUACGGAAUGAUUGGGCGUAAAGGGCGCGUAGGCGGAGCGGUAAGUCUGGAGUGAAAGUCCUGCUUUCAAGGUGGGAAUUGCUUUGGAUACUGCCGCGCUUGAGUGCAGGAGAGGUUAUCGGAAUUCCCGGUGUAGCGGUGAAAUGCGUAGAGAUUGGGAAGAACACCAGUGGCGAAGGCGGCUUACUGGGCUGUAACUGACGCUGAGGCGCGAAAGCGUGGGGAGCGAACAGGAUUAGAUACCCUGGUAGUCCACGCUGUAAACGAUGAAUGCUAGGUGUAGGGGGUAUCGACCCCUCCUGUGCCGGAGUAAACGCAAUAAGCAUUCCGCCUGGGGAGUACGGCCGCAAGGCUGAAACUCAAAGGAAUUGACGGGG
RNAcentral lists this ribosomal RNA (397 nucleotides) under uncultured bacterium. RNAcentral describes it as "partial 16S ribosomal RNA". It matches the Rfam family "Bacterial small subunit ribosomal RNA", at positions 523 to 918 of the family's 1533-position model. The record is from RNAcentral.